GAGCAGACGUGCCAGCCCCUCUCUUCAGUGCAUCCCUAUUUUCUGAGGUACCACUAGGGUCAAGGACGACCCACAUCUUAGUAGAAAGAGACGACCACAAGACGAACACAGCAUGUUUGCGAUGCAACGGGCCCGUCUGCCUACAGCAUCAAACUGUCUUGUGUCCGAAGUGUGUGCCUCGUACGUAGGUAGCAAAUUUGGCCGUCGCACUUGUCGUGGGUGGGGCCCAUUUUACUGUAUAUAUCAAUUAGGUA
This is a long non-coding RNA of Macrobrachium nipponense, 254 nucleotides long. RefSeq lists it as uncharacterized. NCBI's taxonomy places the organism in Eukaryota, Metazoa, Arthropoda, Malacostraca, Decapoda, Palaemonidae. The record is from RefSeq and is a predicted model, not a curated record. The transcript is spliced from 3 exons.